Homo sapiens (human) is the source of this 448-nucleotide long non-coding RNA. The record is from Ensembl. Lineage: Eukaryota; Metazoa; Chordata; Mammalia; Primates; Hominidae.
GGAAGGGGGGAGGGGACGGUACCAACGAGACGCACGUGUCAAGCAUGCACCUGUGGCAAGCAGCCUGUCAGAGGAUGUUAUUACACCUGCCAAGUGGUGUAUCCAGAAACAAAAGAGGCCCAGUUUCCAAUUCUUCAGCUGUGUGCAAUGUUUAGAGAAUCCCUAUACCAGGAAAUAAUCCUGCCUAAAUGGGAACCUCACUAACAGGAGAUAAUAAGGAACCAAUAGUAAGCUGAACGUUAAAGAUACAGGGGUGGAUUGUGCCUCCAAACAUCUGCCACUGGGCUGAGUGAGCCUUGGUAGGGAGCUGAGACCACCGUCCUUCAGCGUCAGCAAACUCAUAUCAUGUCAGCUAGCCACUCGAAUGGUGCAAGAUGCCAAACUGGUUAUUCCCUGAGCAGUUCAGUCACAGUAAGGUGACUCUAAAUGGACGGUCUGCACAUUUUUC